UACGUAGGGUGCAAGCGUUAAUCGGAAUUACUGGGCGUAAAGCGUGCGCAGGCGGUUAUAUAAGACAGUUGUGAAAUCCCCGGGCUCAACCUGGGAACUGCAUCUGUGACUGUAUAGCUAGAGUACGGUAGAGGGGGAUGGAAUUCCGCGUGUAGCAGUGAAAUGCGUAGAUAUGCGGAGGAACACCGAUGGCGAAGGCAAUCCCCUGGACCUGUACUGACGCUCAUGCACGAAAGCGUGGGGAGCAAACAGGG
This 254-nucleotide ribosomal RNA is filed under the name uncultured bacterium. RNAcentral's name for it is "partial 16S ribosomal RNA". It matches the Rfam family "Bacterial small subunit ribosomal RNA", at positions 524 to 777 of the family's 1533-position model. The record is from RNAcentral.